This 460-nucleotide ribosomal RNA is filed under the name uncultured bacterium. Its description in RNAcentral is "partial 16S ribosomal RNA". It matches the Rfam family "Bacterial small subunit ribosomal RNA", at positions 338 to 795 of the family's 1533-position model. The record is from RNAcentral.
CCUACGGGAGGCAGCAGUGAGGAAUAUUGGUCAAUGGACGAGAGUCUGAACCAGCCAAGUAGCGUGAAGGAUGACUGCCCUAUGGGUUGUAAACUUCUUUUAUCUGUGAAUAAAAUGUUCCACGUGUGGGAUUUUGUAUGUACCAUAUGAAUAAGGAUCGGCUAACUCCGUGCCAGCAGCCGCGGUAAUACGGCGGAUCCGAGCGUUAUCCGGAUUUAUUGGGUUUAAAGGGUGAGUAGGUGGUUUGUUAAGUUAGUUGUGAAAGUUUGCGGAUCAACCGUAAAAUUGCAGUUGAAACUGGCAGUCUUGAGUACAGUAGAGGUGGGCGGAAUUCGUGGUGUAGCGGUGAAAUGCUUAGAUAUCACGAAGAACUCCGAUUGCGAAGGCAGCUCACUGGACUGCAACUGACACUGAGGCUCGAAAGCGUGGGGAGCAAACAGGAUUAGAUACCCUUGUAGUC